RNAcentral lists this ribosomal RNA (492 nucleotides) under uncultured bacterium. RNAcentral's name for it is "partial 16S ribosomal RNA". It matches the Rfam family "Bacterial small subunit ribosomal RNA", at positions 29 to 507 of the family's 1533-position model. The record is from RNAcentral.
AGUGAACGCUGGCGGUAGGCCUAACACAUGCAAGUCGAACGGCAGCACAGUAAGAGCUUGCUCUUACGGGUGGCGAGUGGCGGACGGGUGAGGAAUACAUCGGAAUCUACUUUUUCGUGGGGGAUAACGUAGGGAAACUUACGCUAAUACCGCAUACGACCUACGGGCGAAAGCAGGGGAUCUUCGGACCUUGCGCGAUCGAAUGAGCCGAUGUCGGAUUAGCUAGUUGGCGGGGUAAAGGCCCACCAAGGCGACGAUCCGUAGCUGGUCUGAGGGGAUGAUCAGCCACACUGGAACUGAGACACGGUCCAGACUCCUACGGGAGGCAGCAGUGGGGAAUAUUGGACAAUGGGCGCAAGCCUGAUCCAGCCAUACCGCGUGGGUGAAGAAGGCCUUCGGGUUGUAAAGCCCUUUUGUUGGGAAAGAAAAGCAGCAGGUUAAUACCCCGCUGUUCUGACGGUACCCAAAGAAUAAGCACCGGCUAACUUCGUG